RNAcentral lists this ribosomal RNA (505 nucleotides) under uncultured bacterium. RNAcentral describes it as "partial 16S ribosomal RNA". It matches the Rfam family "Bacterial small subunit ribosomal RNA", at positions 28 to 507 of the family's 1533-position model. The record is from RNAcentral.
GACGAACGCUGGCGGCGUGCCUAAUACAUGCAAGUAGAACGCACAGUUUAUACCGUAGCUUGCUACACCAUAGACUGUGAGUUGCGAACGGGUGAGUAACGCGUAGGUAACCUGCCUGGUAGCGGGGGAUAACUAUUGGAAACGAUAGCUAAUACCGCAUCAUAUUAAUUAUUGCAUGAUAAUUAAUUGAAAGGUGCAAUUGCACCACUACCAGAUGGACCUGCGUUGUAUUAGCUAGUAGGUGAGGUAACGGCUCACCUAGGCGACGAUACAUAGCCGACCUGAGAGGGUGAUCGGCCACACUGGGACUGAGACAAGGCCCAGACUCCUACGGGAGGCAGCAGUAGGGAAUCUUCGGAAAAGGACGAAAGUCUGACCGAGCAAAGCCGCGUGAGUGAAGAAGGUUUUCGGAUCGUAAAGCUCUGUUGUAAGAGAAGAAAGGGUGUGAGAGUGGAAAGUUCACACUGUGACGGUAUCUUACCAGAAAGGGACGGCUAACUACGUG